Molecule: small RNA, 85 nt
Filed under: Sinorhizobium meliloti 2011
Lineage: Bacteria; Pseudomonadati; Pseudomonadota; Alphaproteobacteria; Hyphomicrobiales; Rhizobiaceae
Description: putative ncRNA
Source: RNAcentral
GUCAACGAUUGUAUAAGAGUUUUCGGCCGACCGCGCCAGUGCAUUCCACUUGCCGAAUGCAUCGCAAUACAGAGAUGAGGCUGAC